Molecule: non-coding RNA, 75 nt
Organism: Phthorimaea operculella (potato tuberworm)
Lineage: Eukaryota; Metazoa; Arthropoda; Insecta; Lepidoptera; Gelechiidae
Source: the annotation of a GenBank genome assembly
ACAUCGACCAUAGCUCAGUGGCAGAGCGGUGGGGCGUUUACCCAUGCGGCCCGGGUUCGAUUCCCGGUCGAUGUA